This 75-nucleotide transfer RNA is filed under the name Candidatus Woesebacteria bacterium RIFCSPHIGHO2_02_FULL_38_9. RNAcentral describes it as "tRNA-Arg". It matches the Rfam family "tRNA". From Rfam's summary of the family: Transfer RNA (tRNA) molecules are approximately 80 nucleotides in length. RNAcentral also lists the same sequence under 1 other name. Lineage: Bacteria; Candidatus Woeseibacteriota. The record is from RNAcentral.
GCCCUUGUAGCUCAACGGACAGAGCACUCCCCUUCUAAGGGAGGAAUGGCAGUUCGAUUCUGCCCAAGGGCACCA